AGUGAACGCUGGCGGUAGGCCUAACACAUGCAAGUCGAACGGCAGCACAGUAAGAGCUUGCUCUUACGGGUGGCGAGUGGCGGACGGGUGAGGAAUACAUCGGAAUCUACUUUUUCGUGGGGGAUAACGUAGGGAAACUUACGCUAAUACCGCAUACGACCUACGGGUGAAAGCAGGGGAUCUUCGGACCUUGCGCGAUUGAAUGAGCCGAUGUCGGAUUAGGUAGUUGGCGGGGUAAAGGCCCACCAAGGCGACGAUCCGUAGCUGGUCUGAGAGGAUGAUCAGCCACACUGGAACUGAGACACGGUCCAGACUCCUACGGGAGGCAGCAGUGGGGAAUAUUGGACAAUGGGCGCAAGCCUGAUCCAGCCAUACCGCGUGGGUGAAGAAGGCCUUCGGGUUGUAAAGCCCUUUUGUUGGGAAAGAAAAGCAGCAGGUUAAUACCCCGCUGUUCUGACGGUACCCAAAGAAUAAGCACCGGCUAACUUCGUG
Molecule: ribosomal RNA, 492 nt
Filed under: uncultured bacterium
Lineage: Bacteria
Description: partial 16S ribosomal RNA
Rfam family: Bacterial small subunit ribosomal RNA
Source: RNAcentral